UCCUACUGCCAUGACUUCUUGAGUAAUACAAAUAGAGCCACUUCCCAUGCCGACACGCAGAGCAUCAACACCAGAAUCAAUAAGGUUUUUAGCCUGUGCAGCUGUGACAACAUUGCCUCCAACCACCUGAAGUUGAAAUAUGGAAUUCCCCUGAGAUGAAUCUAUUACAACCACAUCGACACCAGCCUUGACAAGUGCAUCCAGCCGUAGUUUGUCUUCUUCUCUUGUGCCGAUGGCUGCACCCACUAUUAAGUAACCAAUCAAAGAUAUCUUAGAUUGAAACCAAGCUAUACUAUAAUGUCACAAUAAAUCUUAAUAAACAUAAUGCRUUCUGGUCUAGAUGGGGUGCACACAACACUAAAUAAAGUAUGGUCAACAUAAGAUGUUUGUACUCAAGCUAGCCAACAAUGCACCAUGUUUGCUAUCUCAGCUAAGGUCUAUGUGCCUUUUAGGCACAAUAUAUUAUAUCCUCACAAUAGGUCUUGAUAAACAGGAUAUAUUCUGGUCUAACUGGGUACAAACAACAGCAUAUGAAGUACCCAAGCUAGACCAAAAUGCCUGAUUUGUACAGUAUUUCUUUCUUUUAACUGACUUUGUCCAUUCGAUCCUCCCUCCUACUCAUCGUACUCUCCCCAUUAAAGACAAAACAAAGUAUGCAGUAUGCACCUAAUAACUGCUUGUUCUUAUCUUUUGAAGCCAGUGGAUAGUCUCUGUUCUUCUUUAAAUCAGUCCUUGCUAUGAGAGACACCAGUUCUCCCUUUUCAUUGAUGAUUGGUAGUUUUCCUACAAGCAAACCAUAUCGACCUAUUACUAAUAUUUUACUGACAUCAAUAUCACUAAAACUUGGGCUACCUGUGUUUUACAACACAGGGAUCCCAUUAUUUUUUUCUUGGCAUCCAAAUACACUGGCCUUAAUAUGGGUACCUUUCUUACUGCGCUGCAAAAUUUGGUUAGCUUCUAUUAGAGUAAUGCCUGAUUUAGCCACAAUUAGGUCUUCUACAGGAGUCAUGACCUAGGAUGUAAAAACGUAGCAAAUUAUGAGGAUUGAUUCUAGCUUCAUGGCUUACAAAAGGCUUGAGAAAAAACAGUACUUUAGGUUGGUAAGAUUUGGUAUGCAGGGUAUGGGUGGUGGGGAGUGGUUUGGUAUAGAUGGUAUGGUAUGGUAGGUCAGGAUAGGGUGUGCUAUUCUAUGUUAUGGUAUGGUUUAGGAUAUAGUAAGGUAAGGUAUGGUAUGCAGGGUAUGGGUGGUAGGGAGUGGUUUGGUAUAGAUGGUAUGGUAUGGUAGGGCAGGAUAGGGUGUGCUAUUCUAUGUUAUGGUAUGGUUUAGGGUAUAGUAAGGUAAGAUUUGGUAUGCAGGGUAUGGGUGGUAGGGAGUGGUUUGGUAUAGAUGGCAUGGUAUGGUAGGGUAGGAUAGGGUGUGCUAUGCUAUGUUAUGGUAUGGUUUAUGGUAUAGUAAGGUAAAGUAUGGUAUGUAGGGCAUGGGUGGUAGGGAGUGGUUUGGUAUAGAUGGUAUGGUAUGGUAGGGCAGGAUAGGGUGUGCUAUGCUAUGGUAUGGUAUGGUUUAUGGUAUAGUAAGGUAAGGAAUGGUAUGCAGGGAAUGGGUGGUAGGGAGUGGUAUGUUAUGUUAUAGAUGGCAUGGUAUGAUAAGGCAGAAUCAUAACAAAUUGCAAGCCCGAUUUUAUUGCGUUUGGGCACAUUCAGAUCUGCAUUAUUAGAAUAUUUCUGGGGAUUAAUGGGAGAAGUGUGAAGCUUUUGUUUUAUGGCCAGCAGGACGCCUAACUGGAAAGACAGCUUCAUAUUGAAACGCGUUGAAAGGCGUUGAUCACAUUAACUUGCUUGUCAUUCUGUGGUUAUUACCAUGGUAACAUAGGGAUUAAAAUUGGGCUUGUGGCUGUUUAUGAUAGGAUGUGCUACGCUAUGGUAUGGGUUAUAGUAUAGCUAGGUAUGAUGGGGAUGGAACUUUGAGAUUUUGCAUUCGUAGCACACAGUAUCAUGAUGUGUCAUAAGAUGGUAAAUUGGAAUGUGGUGCGAAUACUGUGGUAUGGGUAUGUUGCGCAGCAUUGUGCAUGCUAUAGUGCAUGAUGUAGACUGUAAAGUAAUGUUAAGUGACAUAGUCUAGUGUGGUGUAUGCUAAGAUACCUCUUUCAGUGGCUUGCUAUGGUCAAUAUCAAGAAGGAAAUCUAUGUCUCUGGAUGUAACAAUGCCGAGUAACACUCCACCCAUAUGGCCAUUCUCUGCAAACAAAAUAUUCAUUAUCAAAAUUAUCAGCCAGUGAUGUCAGUGACCCAAUACCAUCAUGCAUCAAAAUCAUCAUCAUCAUUAUGUAGUAUCAUCAUCAUGUAUCAUCAUCAUGUAUCAUCAUCAUGUAUCAUCAUCUUGCAUCAUCAUCACGAUAUAUCAUCUUCAACUCAU
This is a long non-coding RNA of Actinia tenebrosa (Australian red waratah sea anemone), 2412 nucleotides long. RefSeq lists it as uncharacterized. The record is from RefSeq and is a predicted model, not a curated record. NCBI's taxonomy places the organism in Eukaryota, Metazoa, Cnidaria, Anthozoa, Actiniaria, Actiniidae.